RNAcentral lists this ribosomal RNA (253 nucleotides) under uncultured bacterium. RNAcentral describes it as "partial 16S ribosomal RNA". It matches the Rfam family "Bacterial small subunit ribosomal RNA", at positions 524 to 776 of the family's 1533-position model. The record is from RNAcentral.
UACGAAGGGGGCUAGCGUUGCUCGGAAUCACUGGGCGUAAAGCGCACGUAGGCGGAUUGUUAAGUCAGGGGUGAAAUCCUGGAGCUCAACUCCAGAACUGCCUUUGAUACUGGCGAUCUCGAGUCCUCGAGAGGUGAGUGGAACUGCGAGUGUAGAGGUGAAAUUCGUAGAUAUUCGCAAGAACACCAGUGGCGAAGGCGGCUCACUGGCCCGGUACUGACGCUGAGGUGCGAAAGCGUGGGGAGCGAACAGG